GACGAACGCUGGCGGCGUGCUUAACACAUGCAAGUCGAACGGAAAGGCCCUGCUUGCAGGGUACUCGAGUGGCGAACGGGUGAGUAACACGUGGGUGAUCUGCCCUGCACUUCGGGAUAAGCCUGGGAAACUGGGUCUAAUACCGGAUAGGAGCCAUUUUUAGUGUGAUGGUUGGAAAGUUUUUUCGGUGUAGGAUGAGCUCGCGGCCUAUCAGCUUGUUGGUGGGGUAAUGGCCUACCAAGGCGGCGACGGGUAGCCGGCCUGAGAGGGUGGACGGCCACAUUGGGACUGAGAUGCGGCCCAGACUGCGACGGGAGGCAGCAGUGGGGAAUAUUGCACAAUGGGCGCAAGCCGGAUGCAGCGACGCCGCGGGGGGGAGGACGGCCUUCGGGUUGUAAACUCCUUUCGCUAGGGACGAAGCUUUUUGUGACGGUACCUAGAUAAGAAGCACCGGCUAACUACGUG
This 465-nucleotide ribosomal RNA is filed under the name uncultured bacterium. RNAcentral describes it as "partial 16S ribosomal RNA". It matches the Rfam family "Bacterial small subunit ribosomal RNA", at positions 28 to 507 of the family's 1533-position model. The record is from RNAcentral.